GACCUAGUGGCGAAGUGGAAACGCUGGGGUCUGCAAAACCUCUAUGCAAGGGUUCGAUUCCCUUCUAGGUCU
Molecule: transfer RNA, 72 nt
Filed under: Microgenomates group bacterium RIFCSPLOWO2_01_FULL_47_10
Lineage: Bacteria
Description: tRNA-Cys
Rfam family: tRNA
About the family: Transfer RNA (tRNA) molecules are approximately 80 nucleotides in length. Their secondary structure includes four short double-helical elements and three loops (D, anti-codon, and T loops).
Source: RNAcentral